CAGCAGCCGCGGUAAUACGUAGGGUGCGAGCGUUAAUCGGAUUUACUGGGCGUAAAGCGUGCGCAGGCGGCCCGUUAAGACAGGUGUGAAAUCCCUGGGCUCAACCUAGGAAUUGCGCUUGUGACUGGCGGGCUCGAGUACGGUAGAGGGGGGUGGAAUUCCUGGUGUAGCAGUGAAAUGCGUAGAGAUCAGGAGGAACACCGAUGGCGAAGGCAGCCCCCUGGGCCUGUACUGACGCUCAUGCACGAAAGCGUGGGGAGCAAACAGGAUUAGAUACCCGGGUAGUCCACGCCCUAAACGAUGGGUACUAGCCGUUUGGUGCGCGAUAGCGCUGAGUGGCGAAGCUAACGCGUGAAGUACCCCGCCUGGGGAGUACGGCCGCAAGGUUGAAACUUAAAGGAAUUGGCGGG
This 410-nucleotide ribosomal RNA is filed under the name uncultured microorganism. Its description in RNAcentral is "bacterial SSU rRNA". It matches the Rfam family "Bacterial small subunit ribosomal RNA", at positions 509 to 917 of the family's 1533-position model. The record is from RNAcentral.